RNAcentral lists this ribosomal RNA (246 nucleotides) under uncultured bacterium. Its description in RNAcentral is "partial 16S ribosomal RNA". It matches the Rfam family "Bacterial small subunit ribosomal RNA", at positions 1247 to 1500 of the family's 1533-position model. The record is from RNAcentral.
AAGCCACCUGGCGACAGGGCGCGGAACCCGAAACCCCGUCCUCAGUUCGGAUUGGAGUCUGCAACUCGACUCCAUGAAGCUGGAUUCGCUAGUAAUCGCGCAUCAGCCAUGGCGCGGUGAAUACGUUCCCGGGCCUUGUACACACCGCCCGUCAAGCCAUGGAAGCCGGGAGUGCCUGAAGUGCGUGAGCGCAAGCAGCGCCCUAAGGUAAAACCGGUGACUGGGGCUAAGUCGUAACAAGGUAUC